UGGCUCAGAGGAUAAAGCAUCUGCCUGCAAUGCAGGAGACCUGGGUUCAAUCCCGG
Molecule: transfer RNA, 56 nt
Filed under: Ovis aries (sheep)
Lineage: Eukaryota; Metazoa; Chordata; Mammalia; Artiodactyla; Bovidae
Rfam family: tRNA
About the family: Transfer RNA (tRNA) molecules are approximately 80 nucleotides in length.
Source: Rfam by way of RNAcentral